Molecule: long non-coding RNA, 646 nt
Organism: Sitophilus oryzae (rice weevil)
Lineage: Eukaryota; Metazoa; Arthropoda; Insecta; Coleoptera; Curculionidae
Exons: 5
Source: RefSeq, a predicted model, not a curated record
AAAAAUAAUUUUGGAAUCAUACAAGACUUGGCUUAUUAACGAAGAUUCUAUAGGAAAAAGCGAAAAAACGACUUCUGCAAUUGAUAUAGGAUACAGAUAUGAAAUAAGACAGUGAUAAGAGCUUUUUAUGAAGAUAAAAUGGAAAACACAAGAAAAAUGGAGAGAUAAAAGAUUUUCUUUUGGGAAGAUGUGUACUUUCAUAGAAUUUCAUAACAAAAUCUCACCGAUUGUAUCUUGCUUUUCAAUGAAAGUGUGGGCCAAGAAAGAGUAAAGCUAGAGCAACAAAAUUGGAAUCCUGUUGAGCAAACGAAUCCGCCAAAUGGUUUCUGCUUAUAAUUGUCUUCAAGUCAUUUCUUCAAAUACCUCUUCAGAAAAUUAUACUUUUGAAUAUUCAGAUCGAAUAGAAGUUAUGCUGUACCUCCUAAAUCUGUUUUUUUCGAUGAUAUAAAGAUAAUUUUAUUCUUAAUGGUUGUUCCACACUGGUAGAAAUGUGCAGUGAAUAAGGUUUUCUAUUGAUGUCUUCAAUCUCAUUUUUUAUAUGAUAUAGAGGCAAUAGUAGCAUGCAUUUUAAAAAAUAAUUUUGGCAUCAUAUACAAGACUUGGCUUAAUAACGAAGAAUCUAUAGGAAAAAGCGAAAAAACGACUU